RNAcentral lists this ribosomal RNA (448 nucleotides) under uncultured bacterium. RNAcentral's name for it is "bacterial SSU rRNA". It matches the Rfam family "Bacterial small subunit ribosomal RNA", at positions 355 to 825 of the family's 1533-position model. The record is from RNAcentral.
UGGGGAAUAUUGGACAAUGGGCGCAAGCCUGAUCCAGCCAUGCCGCGUGGAUGAUGAAGGCCUUAGGGUUGUAAAGUCCUUUCGGCGGGGAAGAUAAUGACGGUACCCGCAGAAGAAGCCCCGGCUAACUUCGUGCCAGCAGCCGCGGUAAUACGAAGGGGGCUAGCGUUGCUCGGAAUCACUGGGCGUAAAGCGCACGUAGGCGGCUUUUUAAGUCAGGGGUGAAAUCCUGGAGCUCAACUCCAGAACUGCCUUUGAUACUGAGAAGCUUGAGUCCGGGAGAGGUGAGUGGAACUGCGAGUGUAGAGGUGAAAUUCGUAGAUAUUCGCAAGAACACCAGUGGCGAAGGCGGCUCACUGGCCCCGGUACUGACGCUGAGGUGCGAAAGCGUGGGGAGCAAACAGGAUUAGAUACCCCCGUAGUCCCUGAGCGGGCUGGCAAGGCGCAU